GAUGAACGCUGGCGGCGUGCCUAAUACAUGCAGGUCGAGCGAACAGAUGAGGAGCUUGCUCCUCUGACGUUAGCGGCGGACGGGUGAGUAACACGUGGAUAACCUACCUAUAAGACUGGGAUAACUUCGGGAAACCGGAGCUAAUACCGGAUAAUAUAUUGAACCGCAUGGUUCAAUAGUGAAAGACGGUUUUGCUGUCACUUAUAGAUGGAUCCGCGCCGCAUUAGCUAGUUGGUAAGGUAACGGCUUACCAAGGCAACGAUGCGUAGCCGACCUGAGAGGGUGAUCGGCCACACUGGAACUGAGACACGGUCCAGACUCCUACGGGAGGCAGCAGUAGGGAAUCUUCCGCAAUGGGCGAAAGCCUGACGAAGCAACGCCGCGUGAGUGAUGAAGGUCUUCGGAUCGUAAAACUCUGUUAUUAGGGAAGAACAAAUGUGUAAGUAACUAUGCACGUCUUGACGGUACCUAAUCAGAAAGCCACGGCUAACUACGU
RNAcentral lists this ribosomal RNA (496 nucleotides) under uncultured bacterium. RNAcentral's name for it is "partial 16S ribosomal RNA". It matches the Rfam family "Bacterial small subunit ribosomal RNA", at positions 28 to 506 of the family's 1533-position model. The record is from RNAcentral.